This 75-nucleotide microRNA precursor is filed under the name Pristionchus pacificus. RNAcentral describes it as "microRNA ppc-mir-8342 precursor". Lineage: Eukaryota; Metazoa; Nematoda; Chromadorea; Rhabditida; Neodiplogasteridae. The record is from miRBase by way of RNAcentral.
CGAACAAGAGCUCUGAGCAUUGGCAUAUUUUAGUGAAUGGUCGCGCAGAGUGAAUGGUCCUGGGUGUUGUUCAAC